RNAcentral lists this ribosomal RNA (293 nucleotides) under uncultured bacterium. RNAcentral describes it as "partial 16S ribosomal RNA". It matches the Rfam family "Bacterial small subunit ribosomal RNA", at positions 775 to 1067 of the family's 1533-position model. The record is from RNAcentral.
GGAUUAGAUACCCUGGUAGUCCACGCCGUAAACGAUGUCAACUAGCUGUUGGGUCUAUUAAUGAUUCGGUGGCGUAGCUAACGCGCUAAGUUGACCGCCUGGGGAGUACGGUCGCAAGAUUAAAACUCAAAGGAAUUGACGGGGGCCCGCACAAGCGGUGGAGCAUGUGGUUUAAUUCGAUGCAACGCGAAAAACCUUACCUACCCUUGACAUCAUCAGAACUUGUUAGAGAUAACUCGGUGCCUUCGGGAACUGAUUGACAGGUGCUGCAUGGCUGUCGUCAGCUCGUGCCG